GUUAAAGAGUUUUUUUCUUUUUUUUAAAGAAUUACUUUGAAAAAUGAAGUAAGACGUAUUCUCAACAACCAACUUCUGCCAAAAUAUGCAAAGAAUAAAACAGGCCAUAAGAAUCCAUUGAUGUGUACAAAAUUAUUUUUUGACAGAAACAGAAACAAGGUAAACACAUGGAAGAUUCAAGUGAGAACUGAACUGGAACCCAGAAGGGGUAUGCAGGAGUUCAUUAGAAGACCAGAGAGAGAUACAAGCCACAAUUCAGGAAAACAUCCCAGCAGACUCCUCUCUGCCUUAUGUUUGACAUUCUUGAAAUCUGUGCUGUCUGUCUUGAAAUCUUUGAACAAUGUACAACAAUCUUAUGCUUGCCCAGGGAAACCUGUUCCAUUAGAUGAGGUAAGCUGGUUACAUACCUUCUUUGACUUGCGUUCCCAAGUGAUCUUAUUCCAGAUAUGAUUUGGGGAAUACUUGUAUGUGCCAUUCUGAUAUUGUCCUAAAAGGAAAUUAUUUUGGAAGUAAAGACACUGAUAAAAUCAACUCAGGAAAAUGCACUUUGCAAAUAUGAGAAUAUGGGCGUUAUUAAAAGCCAUGUUGUAAAAAUACCAAUGGUUAUUUUUACUGAGAGUAGUGUUAAAUAAAAUUUAUAGGAGACUAUUGUUUUGGACUAAGCUCUUGCACUAGGCCCAACAGAACAGACCAAACCAGAAUGGAAUUACUAGUGCUAGGUCCCCAAACUGGACUUUAAAAUCAGCCAGUUAAAAAACAAACAAACAAACAAAAAACGGAUUCACAGCAAUCAAUUAAAAGGGGCCCAGUCAACCUGAGUCGAC
RNAcentral lists this long non-coding RNA (824 nucleotides) under Rhinopithecus roxellana (golden snub-nosed monkey). RNAcentral describes it as "lncRNA (ENSRROG00000045862.1)". The record is from RNAcentral. Lineage: Eukaryota; Metazoa; Chordata; Mammalia; Primates; Cercopithecidae.